RNAcentral lists this long non-coding RNA (737 nucleotides) under Papio anubis (olive baboon). RNAcentral's name for it is "lncRNA (ENSPANG00000041907.1)". Lineage: Eukaryota; Metazoa; Chordata; Mammalia; Primates; Cercopithecidae. The record is from RNAcentral.
GUUAUGUAUUGAAGAAUACAGUCUAUAAUACAUAUAAAAUAUGUGUUAAUUGACUAUACUAUCAGCAAGGCUUCAAGUCAAGGGGGAGGUGGAUGCCAUGUUGUGAGGACACUCAAGCAGCUCUACAGAGACGCCCCCAGGAUGAGAAACCGAGGCCUCCUGCCAACAGCCAUAGAGUGCACCAUCCAGUCCCAGUCAAACCUUCAGAUGACUGCAGCCCAGGCCAACACCUUGAUUGCAGCUUCAUAAGAGACUCUGAUAGUAGCACCACCCAGAUGAGGAGACUGAAGUACAGGAGAGGUUACAUAACUUAUCCAAGAGGGUGAAAUUGAGGUGGAGAGAGUGACUUAAUGUGCUGGUACAGAGUGUGGCAUCUCAUGUGUGACUACCUAGGCUCAAACCUUUCUCAUACAUUUAACAAGUGUGUGACUUGGAAAAGCUGCUUAGUCCAAGACUCAGAGUCAUCCAUAAAGUGGGGAAAAAAUUAACCCUAACUCAUAGAAUCUGUUUUGAGGAUCAAAUGAGAUAGCUCAUCUAGAGCUCCUGGCAGAGCGCCUGCACCUGAUGAUAAUUUAAUCAACAUUAACUGUUAUUUAUUGUUUAUGUGUCAGUCACAGAGACUCACAGUUUGGGAUUCCAAACUGAUUCUACAACUUCAAGCCUGACAUUCUUUUGGAAAUAACUCAGCUGUCAUCUAGUGCUAAUACUGCUAUAAAUAAAGGAUGUGACCUUGAGCG